Molecule: ribosomal RNA, 254 nt
Filed under: uncultured bacterium
Lineage: Bacteria
Description: partial 16S ribosomal RNA
Rfam family: Bacterial small subunit ribosomal RNA
Source: RNAcentral
UACAGAGGAGCCAAGCGUUGUCCGGAUUGACUGGGCGUAAAGCGCACGCAGGCGGACGCGCGCGUGGGGUGUGAAAUCUGGCCGCUUAACGGCCAGGCGCCAUCCCAUACGGCGCGUCUGGAGUGAUGCAGAGGUCGAUGGAAUUGCCGGUGUAGUGGUGAAAUGCGUAGAGAUCGGCAGGAACACCCAGGGGGGAAACCAGUCGACUGGGCAUCUACUGACGCUGAGGUGCGAGAGCGUGGGGAGCGAACCGG